GCAAGCUCCACAGCAGGGGGCAGGGAAAGGAGACCUCCCUAUGGGUUGCAUUGUCAAAAGAGCCUUAUAAGUAAUUCCUCAUUGCAUCUUUAUUCAGCCUUGAUUGACAACACCUGGCUGCACCUCUACAAGAGGCCUUAUGGGCAGCACUUCGUUAUAUCUUUACAGAAAGUCUUUCUCUAUCAAGCAAAGAAAGAUAGUUCUGGGGGUGAAAAGUCUCUUCUCGGUCUGCUUCCACUACACCUAGCUGAUGAGAAGGAAUCCCUGUGUAGCUCCUAACCGGGGGGAAUGAAGGCUUAACUAGUCCAUGCCCUACAACCACCCAAAGGGCCGCCUGAUCCAAACCAGAAGGGAAGGGGGUUCACUGCCUAGAGAAAACUUUGGACCAGUGAGAAUUGGGAGCUGGGAGGGAACUGAGCAAAUACAUUUCUCCUCAAUUGCCACACUCAUGGACUUUUCUUAGGCAGUGUAUUCCCCCAUAGACUGACUAGAGACAACUUGCAGGCUGAGUAAAUGUACCAGCCAAGCAUCUGGACUGCCUGUCUCCUCACAGGUCGCAGGGUAUUCCCACUGAGAAGUAUCAUGGCUUUCCUAAGGAUCGUACCAGCCAAGCAAAGCUUUGGUGCUUCACUCUGGCUCUGUGGUAGAAUCCAGGCUAUGACUGGCUAGAGAAAGGGCCAUGGAAUAUGAUCUUCUUUAGAAAAGCAGAUUGCUUAGCCUAAGAUGCAGCGAGGACCCUUCUGGCUUCUAUUUCUCUGGCAAGAAUCUUCCACAGUACCCUUUGUGUAUAGUACUCUGCAUCCUAUGGUUGUUAUCCUGAUUGACAUGGUUGGUACCCUGCAUCUAAUGGAUACUAUCCAACAUCCCAUUGUUGGUACCCUGUAUUCUAUGGUUGGUUCCCUAAUUCCCAUGGAUGGUACUCUGCACCCCAUGGAUGAUAUCCUGCAUCCCACGGUUGAUAUCAGUGAACAGCGUGUGAGGCAGACAACCAAGUCAUCAGAAUCUAACAAGAUUCACAAGAUCCCACACUGCCCUGAAGCCAUCAUCUAACUUCUUGACUGCUUCCACUCGCAUGAGGUGAUUUUAAAAGCAAGCCUUCCUUCACUGUUUGCUGUAAGGACUCACCCGACCUGGUGGCUAAGUUUGACAGGCCCUGUACCGCACAGAAGCAGAUUGAGUCUACUGCUGCUGCUUCUGUUGAAAUGAAACUUUGGGUCUCACAGAUGUUCCAGUAGUCCAGAUUUUGUUGAUCACAUUUUCAAGGUGAUAGGACCACCAUGAUGCCUCCCAAGUGCCAGAGGCCACCUGCCAUCAACUCAGUGAGUUCUACAGGAUAAUGAAGAUGUCCCUCACACUCAGGAAGUGCUGAGAAGGCACCUGGAGUAGUCAGUACACACACACACAAUGACAUAAAGAUCAAGAUGUGUGUGUGUGUGUGUGUGUGUUCAUAAUACCACAUACCAUGUGGCUCACAUAAUCAAAGAAAAAUACCAGAAGGUUCUAUAUGCUUGAUUACAGAUUAGUUAUAAGCUGAGUUAUGGAGGAAGGACCCAGAUGCAAAUAUGUUAUCAAAAAAAGAUCUUUGAGAAAGAUGGUAGUAUGUCCUGUACCUUGAUGUACCUUACUCAGAGCUAUAGGGUAGGUGUUGACUGAAAGGAUGGACAUGUAGGUGGGUGAUAAAACCCCACAGUAAGUGCUUUAACAGAGUCACAGGAGACAUGCAUCAGUAUUUGAAACUUCAUAUGGAGUCAGAGUGCUUAUACUGAGACAGAUUCAUGGUUCCUGUCUUGGUGAUAGCACCAGACGAACCUUUUUCUACAACACACCAAGGAGCUCUUGGAGCUGGUCCAAGCCAAAAGUAAAAAGAAAAGAAAAUAGUAUUGAUUGGAUAGCUAGAACUUUUUUAGGCAUUUAUGUGAGGCAGACUCUUUGCCCUGUUGUACAAGAUAAAUGUAUAAAGAUUAAUACUCAGAAAAAUAACAGCCUUGGGCUGGAGAUACGGCUUGGAGAGUAGUUAAGAGCAUUUGCUGCUCUUAUAGAGGACCAGUGUUCAGAUCCUAAAAAACACACCCACCUGUGACAACAGUGGGGUACAGGGCUGGGUAAUGCCCAUUUCUGGCCUCUAUGGAUACUGAAUUCACAUGAAAAAAAAUCCAAAAAGAGACACAAAAUAUACUACUAAAAAUAAAAAUAGAGUCAGUAGUGGCACAUACUCAUCUCUGUGAGUUAGAGGCCACUCUCUACAGGAGGUUGGAGGUUUCUACACAGAGAAACCCUCUCUGGAAAAACAAAACUAAUAAAAUAAAAUAAAAUUUGAAAAACUAAACAAAUAUUAUAAAAAGGAAAGUAACAACCCAGAAAUGCACCAGUAUAUAUAAUAUAUCAAAUUACACAAUCCGUCUUGAGAGUUAGGUAUGCACAAAGCCCCUGCACUUGGAAAGUCAAGUUAGAAGAACCAGUUCAAGGCCAGUCUCUGUUUCAUAGUAAUUUUGAGGAUUGUGUAAGGACCUGUAUAAGAAAAC
Molecule: long non-coding RNA, 2522 nt
Filed under: Mus musculus (house mouse)
Lineage: Eukaryota; Metazoa; Chordata; Mammalia; Rodentia; Muridae
Description: predicted gene, 31804
Source: RNAcentral